RNAcentral lists this ribosomal RNA (287 nucleotides) under Paenibacillus antri. RNAcentral describes it as "Bacterial small subunit ribosomal RNA". It matches the Rfam family "Bacterial small subunit ribosomal RNA", at positions 1 to 284 of the family's 1533-position model. Lineage: Bacteria; Bacillati; Bacillota; Bacilli; Caryophanales; Paenibacillaceae. The record is from Rfam by way of RNAcentral.
UUUUUGGAGAGUUUGAUCCUGGCUCAGGACGAACGCUGGCGGCGUGCCUAAUACAUGCAAGUCGAGCGGAGUGUUCCCUUCGGGGUUCACUUAGCGGCGGACGGGUGAGUAACACGUAGGCAACCUGCCCAUAAGACCGGGAUAACUGGCGGAAACGCCUGCUAAUACCGGAUAAUCGAUUCGCUCGCCUGAGCGAAUCGUGAAAGAUGCUUCGGCAUCGCUUGUGGAUGGGCCUGCGGCGCAUUAGCUAGUUGGCGGGGUAACGGCCCACCAAGGCGACGAUGCGU